RNAcentral lists this long non-coding RNA (1421 nucleotides) under Equus asinus (donkey). RNAcentral describes it as "lncRNA (ENSEASG00005036578.1)". Lineage: Eukaryota; Metazoa; Chordata; Mammalia; Perissodactyla; Equidae. The record is from RNAcentral.
UGGAUCGUCCUGUAAUUAUUUUGACAAAUAAUUUAAUUUGCUGUUUUCAGGAAUUUGUCCACUCUUUUGCCUCAGUUUUCACAACUGGUGUUUUAUCACUGGCUGCCUGCUGUGACUGUUUCCUCUAAUAACUCAAGAGUAAUUUAACAACACGAAGUGUGACUCUCCAGAGCUGGUGACUUUUAGGGAGAUAUUGUUAGCAAAAUGUGCUUUUCGUCAUCAAAUGUCUUCACUAUUAGCUGUCAGUGUUGUUCGCAUGACCAGUCGACUACGUGACUUUGCGAACAAGGCGAGUUUCUCGCUGGUCCCUGCUACAGCCUUGGCACGCCCCAUCUUCUAUAGGUCCGUGACAGCUACUGCUUCUCACAUAAGUAAUUUUGGGGCCACUGUGAUGUACUCUCAACCAAGGAUUUUUUUUUGUCUUCUCCUUGCCUGUCUACUUACUUGAAAGUAACAAUCCCAUGCGAAGUCCACAGGCACCUUUUCUGAAACUGCUCCACUUCCCCAAGCAGAUGAGGGAAGAGAUGGGAGGAAAAUCCUUCGAAUGAGACGUGGGCUGGGACAGCGAGCGAGCUCUUCCUAUGUCUGCCUACACGGGGGAGAAGCUAGAUGGUUCCUGUAUAUGAGACUGCUUCCACCGGAAAUACUGGCACAAACACUUGGGGUUUGUCUUGUACAUGGCAUUCCAAGAGGUUACAAAAUUGACUUUUGGCUGUAUUCAGGUGGACCCCUACUCCUUUGUACAAUAUUCAUCUCUGUGAUUAUGUGAGAGAAGGGUCGUGGCCAUCGUGUCGCUGUGGUACACCAGGUCCCAGAAUGGCAGCUGACGUGAGUAGCUACCGAAGUCAUGCUGUGGGAUGUGACGAUCAGCAGCUCCAGGUGUAACAGCUGCAUCUGAAGUUAACAUGAGGGAAGCCCUCUCAGGGAAGGGGAGCAACAUUGUAACUGUGAGCCUGACUCCCUGGUCUCUGUGGAUACAUUCUAGCCCCCAAGUGCCGGGAUGAUUAAGCUCCUCUCACUGUUGCAAAAUACAUGAUCUGCUAGUUCUGUGACCCUUGCUUAUGUAUAUCUCCUGGCUGUGAUAAGACAACUUUAUUCUCUGAGUUCCCCAGGAACAUGACGACCUCCAGAAAGAAAAAUUCUGUUGGUACCCAUCACGAAUGACAGAAGAAAGAGAUUAUGUGACACUCUGUAGUUUGUCCCACCGGGUGGUUGACAUCCUUAACCCCCCUCCUUCCCCGCCCAUUUCCCUACCUAACUGCCUCGCGAUUCUGUAUGAUUUUAAGAUGGCUCUUCAGGACACCAGUCCACCAUCUUCCGAUUAUGCUGGCUAAUCAUCUAAAUUUUCCUCUCUCGACCACUGGCUUGUUUACAAUUGACGGGCACCAGAUUGCGGUGAGCAGAAUGAGCCCCUUUUUACU